GUUGGUAGAGCGCACCCUUGGUAAGGGUGAGGUCCCCAGUUCGACUCUGGGUAUCAGCACCA
Molecule: transfer RNA, 62 nt
Filed under: Escherichia coli
Lineage: Bacteria; Pseudomonadati; Pseudomonadota; Gammaproteobacteria; Enterobacterales; Enterobacteriaceae
Also listed under: 10 other names
Description: tRNA-Thr
Rfam family: tRNA
About the family: Transfer RNA (tRNA) molecules are approximately 80 nucleotides in length. Their secondary structure includes four short double-helical elements and three loops (D, anti-codon, and T loops). Further hydrogen bonds mediate the characteristic L-shaped molecular structure. tRNAs have two regions of fundamental functional importance: the anti-codon, which is responsible for specific mRNA codon recognition, and the 3' end, to which the tRNAs corresponding amino acid is attached (by aminoacyl-tRNA synthetases). tRNAs cope with the degeneracy of the genetic code in two manners: having more than one tRNA (with a specific anti-codon) for a particular amino acid; and 'wobble' base-pairing, i.e. permitting non-standard base-pairing at the 3rd anti-codon position.
Source: RNAcentral